GAGACUCUGUGCGCGUGCAUAUCAAUAAGCGGAGGAAAAGAAACUAACAAGGAUUCCCCUAGUAACGGCGAGUGAAGCGGGAAGAGCUCAAAUUUGAAAUCUUAAAGGGUUUCCCUUUACGAAUUGUAGUUUAAAGAAGUGUUUUCUGUAGUGGAGUUUGGUAAAAGUUCUUUGGAAUAGGACAUCAUAGAGGGUGAGAAUCCCGUAUUUGACCAGUUACUUUCCAGCUGUGUGAUACACUUUCAAAGAGUCGGAUUGUUUGGGAAUGCAGUCCAAAAUGGGUGGUAAAUUUCAUCUAAAGCUAAAUAUUGGCGAGAGACCGAUAGCGAACAAGUACCGUGAGGGAAAGAUGAAAAGAACUUUGAAAAGAGAGUUAAACAGUACGUGAAAUUGUCAAAAGGGAAGCGUUUGACACCAGUGUUGUUUAGUUCCGAAAAUCAAUUCACUAAUUUUUGAUUUUGAGUAGUUAUGACUUCAUCAGCUUGCUGCCUUUCUUUAGGAAACUUUCUUGAAUGCACUUUUCAGUUAACAAGUCAACAUCAAUUUCUUUUGUUGUAAAAGGGUAUGAGGAAGGUGGCUUUCUUUUCGGAGAAAGUGUUUAUAGCCUUGUGCCUCUGCAAUCGGAGAGAUUGAGGUCUGCAGCGUAGAUCCUUCGGGGUUAGAUACAUUUGUGCUAAGUUAUAGCUUUUCAUAGACAACUUGUUGACUAUGUUUAGUCUUGUAGCUUACUCGCUUACUGCUAUUUUACCUACGCUUAGGAUGUUGAGUCGUAGAGCACGCAG
This 782-nucleotide ribosomal RNA is filed under the name uncultured Neocallimastigales. RNAcentral's name for it is "partial large subunit ribosomal RNA". It matches the Rfam family "Eukaryotic large subunit ribosomal RNA", at positions 23 to 630 of the family's 3401-position model. Lineage: Eukaryota; Fungi; Neocallimastigomycota; Neocallimastigomycetes; Neocallimastigales. The record is from RNAcentral.